GAUGAACGCUGGCGGCGUGCCUAAUACAUGCAAGUCGAGCGAAUGGAUUAAGAGCUUGCUCUUAUGAAGUUAGCGGCGGACGGGUGAGUAACACGUGGGUAACCUGCCCAUAAGACUGGGAUAACUCCGGGAAACCGGGGCUAAUACCGGAUAACAUUUUGAACCGCAUGGUUCGAAAUUGAAAGGCGGCUUCGGCUGUCACUUAUGGAUGGACCCGCGCCGCAUUAGAUAGUUGGUGAGGUAACGGCUCCCCAAGGCAACGAUGCGUAGCCGACCUGAGAGGGUGAUCGGCCACACUGGGACUGAGACACGGCCCAGACUCCUACGGGAGGCAGCAGUAGGGAAUCUUCCGCAAUGGACGAAAGUCUGACGGAGCAACGCCGCGUGAGUGAUGAAGGCUUUCGGGUUGUAAAACUCUGUUGUUAGGGAAGAACAAGUGCUAGUUGAAUAAGCUGGCACCUUGACGGUACCUAACCAGAAAGCCACGGCUAACUACGUGCCAGCCGCCGCUGUAA
This 515-nucleotide ribosomal RNA is filed under the name uncultured bacterium. RNAcentral's name for it is "partial 16S ribosomal RNA". It matches the Rfam family "Bacterial small subunit ribosomal RNA", at positions 28 to 523 of the family's 1533-position model. The record is from RNAcentral.